AAUACCUCAGUCUUUUCGGAUG
RNAcentral lists this microRNA (22 nucleotides) under Columba livia (rock pigeon). RNAcentral's name for it is "cli-miR-875-5p". Its record names the gene cli-miR-875-5p. The record is from miRBase by way of RNAcentral. Lineage: Eukaryota; Metazoa; Chordata; Aves; Columbiformes; Columbidae.